CAUCAAGAAGCUAAAAGCGCUAACCUUUUAAGUUAGAGAUCGGAGGUGUCAGACCUCCCUUGGUGA
Molecule: transfer RNA, 66 nt
Filed under: Murina cyclotis (Round-eared tube-nosed bat)
Lineage: Eukaryota; Metazoa; Chordata; Mammalia; Chiroptera; Vespertilionidae
Description: tRNA-Lys
Rfam family: tRNA
About the family: Transfer RNA (tRNA) molecules are approximately 80 nucleotides in length. Their secondary structure includes four short double-helical elements and three loops (D, anti-codon, and T loops). Further hydrogen bonds mediate the characteristic L-shaped molecular structure. tRNAs have two regions of fundamental functional importance: the anti-codon, which is responsible for specific mRNA codon recognition, and the 3' end, to which the tRNAs corresponding amino acid is attached (by aminoacyl-tRNA synthetases). tRNAs cope with the degeneracy of the genetic code in two manners: having more than one tRNA (with a specific anti-codon) for a particular amino acid; and 'wobble' base-pairing, i.e. permitting non-standard base-pairing at the 3rd anti-codon position.
Source: RNAcentral